RNAcentral lists this ribosomal RNA (460 nucleotides) under uncultured bacterium. RNAcentral describes it as "partial 16S ribosomal RNA". It matches the Rfam family "Bacterial small subunit ribosomal RNA", at positions 338 to 795 of the family's 1533-position model. The record is from RNAcentral.
CCUACGGGGGGCAGCAGUGAGGAAUAUUGGUCAAUGGACGAGAGCCUGAACCAGCCAAGUAGCGUGAAGGAUGACUGCCCUACGGGUUGUAAACUUCUUUUAUAUGGGAAUAAAAUGUUCCACGUGUGGCUUUUUGUAUGUACCUUAUGAAUAAGGAUCGGCUAACUCCGUGCCAGCAGCCGCGGUAAUACGGAGGAUCCGAGCGUUAUCCGGAUUUAUUGGGUUUAAAGGGAGCGUAGGUGGAUUGUUAAGUCAGUUGUGAAAGUUUGCGGCUCAACCGUAAAAUUGCAAUUGAUACUGGCAGUCUUGAGUACAGUAGAGGUGGGCGGAAUUCGUGGUGUAGCGGUGAAAUGCUUAGAUAUCACGAAGAACUCCGAUUGCGAAGGCAGCUCACUAGACUGCAACUGACACUGAGGCUCGAAAGUGUGGGUAUCAAACAGGAUUAGAUACCCCUGUAGUC